AUAUAAAGCAUGCACAGUAUAUACCCUAAACUAGGAACAAUAUAGAGGAGAGUUGUAGCAUGACUCCUGUGUAAGAAUGAAGUGCAACUUUGUGAAGUGUUCCAAAUUUUU
Small nuclear RNA from Choloepus didactylus (southern two-toed sloth), 111 nucleotides. NCBI's taxonomy places the organism in Eukaryota, Metazoa, Chordata, Mammalia, Pilosa, Megalonychidae. The record is from RefSeq and is a predicted model, not a curated record.